Molecule: ribosomal RNA, 645 nt
Filed under: uncultured bacterium
Lineage: Bacteria
Description: bacterial SSU rRNA
Rfam family: Bacterial small subunit ribosomal RNA
Source: RNAcentral
UAAAGAAUCCUCGGGUCCGGAUGGGCAUGCGUGGCAUUAGCUUGUUGGCGGGGUAACGGCCCACCAAGGCGACGAUGCCUAGGGGUUCUGAGAGGAAGGUCCCCCACACUGGUACUGAGACACGGACCAGACUCCUACGGGAGGCAGCAGUGAGGAAUAUUGGUCAAUGGGCGAGAGCCUGAACCAGCCAAGUCGCGUGAGGGACGACGGCCCUACGGGUUGUAAACCUCUUUUGCCGGGGGACAAACGGCGGCACGCGUGCCGUCCUGAGGGUACCCGGAGAAAAAGCAUCGGCUAACUCCGUGCCAGCAGCCGCGGUAAUACGGAGGAUGCGAGCGUUAUCCGGAUUUAUUGGGUUUAAAGGGUGCGUAGGCGGGAUGCCAAGUCAGCGGUCAAAUACGGGGGCUCAACCUGCGUCCGCCGUUGAAACUGGCGUUCUUGAGUGGGCGAGAAGUACGCGGAAUGCGUGGUGUAGCGGUGAAAUGCAUAGAUAUCACGCAGAACCCCGAUUGCGAAGGCAGCGUACCGGCGCCCAACUGACGCUGAAGCACGAAAGCGUGGGUAUCGAACAGGAUUAGAUACCCUGGUAGUCCACGCAGUAAACGAUGAACACUAAUUGUCCGGCGGGGUUUGCCGCUGGGUGAU